Oncorhynchus keta (chum salmon) is the source of this 923-nucleotide long non-coding RNA. RefSeq lists it as uncharacterized. Lineage: Eukaryota; Metazoa; Chordata; Actinopteri; Salmoniformes; Salmonidae. The record is from RefSeq and is a predicted model, not a curated record. The transcript has 3 exons.
GCCAUUGAAGGAGACAGCAGAUUCAGCUGGAAUGGCAUUUUGUUGUGUGAUCAACAUUCAGAGGCCAUAAUUCUCUGAAUCUGUACACCUCACGGUGACUGUCUGUUCGUUGUUUGUUCACUUGUUUGUUUGUUUAAUUCAUGUUUUCUAAUCAUUUGUUAGUUUUUAUUCAUGUUUUAUUGUCAUUGUUUAUACAUGUAUUAGUAAUUUCCAAGUUUAUAUGAAUUGAACAUUAGGAUGCUGUUGUUCAAGACGAGGGACUUGUUGGAUUCGACAGUUUGAACAUUGAGACAUUAAAGACAUGACAGAUUAGACACAUAGUAUAUCAAGGAGUAAAAGAGACUGGGUCUCUGUAGAAAGACAGAUAGCUGUGGAAUGUGUUGGGGGACGAGAGGAGUGUGAAACAGGGGAGACAGAUGGACAUCUGUGGAUUAGGUGAAGGAGAGGUUGAGGUCAGGAGGUGAGGACAGCGAUGUGUUGAUACAGGGGAGACAGAUGGACAUCUGUGGAUUAGGUGAAGGAGGGGUUGAGGUCAGGAGGUGAGGACAGCAACGUGUUGAUACAGGGAGACAGAUGGACAUCUGUGGAUUAGGUGGAGGAGGGGUUGAGGUCAGGAGGUGAGGACAGUGAUGUGUUGAUACAGGGAGACAGAUGGACAUCUGUGGAUUACGUGAAGGAGGGGUUGAGGUCAGGAGGUGAGGACAGCAACGUGUUGAUACAGGGGAGACAGAUGGACAUCUGUGGAUUAGGUGAAGGAGGGGUUGAGGUCAGGAGGUGAGGAAAGGUCACCUGAAGGGAGGAAUAAAGGUUUGGUUUCCUGUUUCCCUUUUUUCUCUCUUCCUGUAGAACCAUAAAAUAAAAGGAUUGAAGAGAAGGAGGAGUGUCUUAAUAAGUGGGAUAUAAAUAUCUGGAAGGGACAAAUG